Molecule: ribosomal RNA, 253 nt
Filed under: uncultured bacterium
Lineage: Bacteria
Description: partial 16S ribosomal RNA
Rfam family: Bacterial small subunit ribosomal RNA
Source: RNAcentral
UACGUAGGGUGCAGGCGUUAAUCGGAAUUACUGGGCGUAAAGCGUGCGCAGGCGGUCUUUUAAGUCAGAUGUGAAAUCCCCGGGCUUAACCUGGGAACUGCGUUUGAAACUGGAAGGCUUGAGUGUGGCAGAGGUGGGUGGAAUUCCACGUGUAGCAGUGAAAUGCGUAGAUAUGUGGAGGAACACCGAUGGCGAAGGCAGCCCCCUGGGCUAACACUGACGCUCAUGCACGAAAGCGUGGGGAGCAAACAGG